UAAUGCAAAAUUUCGUGGACACUCAGAUUUUAUUCCUUGUGGUAAUUUCGCCUUGUCCUAUUUUUAAGAGGGACAAUCGCACAGGCCGAUAGCAUAAACUGGACUCCAACUUCUGGGAAAUUAAUGUCAGCGCCAUCUGCUGCUGCUGGCAUGAAAAUGAAAGGCUGAAUGCAGAAUUUUAUUGUCCGGGUGAUGUCGGUGCUAGUUUCAACAGGAUCAAAUAGAGCAUAUUUGUUCUUCAGUGAACGCUGACGAAGCUUACGAUUAAACAGCUUUGCCCCUCCUGACUGUCGCUGCUCAUAGGAGAUAUUUUUGAAAAUUGUUUUAGUUCUAUUGAUACUACAUUAUUUGAAAAUGGCUGGCACUGAUAAGGGUGAUAAUGAUGUUGAUGGGAAAGCAGCAAAACCUGGUGAUGUUUCACAACAAAAAGACCCGGCUGAAGGCAACCCACCUGCAGCAGACCCCACAUCCAGCCAAGCAGCUUCCUCUUCCAGCAUGGAUAUAGAUUCCACUGCUGACACAUCAGCUACAGCCAGUGGCAGUCAAGCAGCCUGUUCCACUAAGUCAUGCGUUUCUGAAACGGCAAGUUUCCGUCCAAGAAGCCCAGAGCACUCUCCCAACAUUGAAGAUGUUGACUUUAAAGUAAUAUUCAGCAAGAGCAAGUAUGAUAUAACAUUUCCCCUGGAUGAUACAGUAGCACAAUUGAAGGAUCACCUAGAAAUCAUCACUGGUGUUCCUCGAACAAUGCAAAAAUUGAUGAUUAAGGGCUUGGCUAAGGAUUCAUUUACCCUUCGUGAAGCAGGUGUUACAAAGGGAUCUAAAAUCAUGCUAGUUGGCUCUAAGCUUGAUGAUAUCCUAUCUGUGUCCACUCCUAGCAAAGAGGAGCUGGAGCUGGAGAAAAGCAGCUCUAAUGCAAAGGAGCCCUUAUCAAAACAAAAAAUACACAAGAAAGUGCUUGAUAAAGGUGUGCCUGAUGAUGUGAUGCCUGGCAUUCUUAAUAACAAGGAAGCAUUACCACCCUUCCCACUUUCUGGAAUGUUAAAUAAAUAUGGUGGAAAAGUUCGGCUCACGUUUAAGCUUGAGCAAGAUGAAGUUUGGAUUGGAACUAAAGAGCGAACUCAAAAAUUAUCCAUGAACUCCAUUCGGGGCGUAGUAAGUGAACCAAUAGAAGGACAUGAAGAGUAUCACAUUUUAGGAAUUCAGCUAGGUCCAACAGAGGCCUCUCGGUAUUGGGUUUACUGGGUUCCUGUGCAGUACAUUGAUGCAAUUAAGGAUACUAUCAUGGGCUCAUCAUGGAUUAUCUAAGGAAUCCCUCUGCCCCCCUGUCCUAGUUUGUUUGCGAGUUUGUGACUCAAGCACUUCUUUCUCCAUUGCCAAAGGGAUCUGUGCUGAACAGAAAUCCCUUUCUGGGUCUUAAACAUUAACUCCGCUAGCAGAGCAGUGUUUUCCCCAGCUGGUCUCAAGACGCCUAGAUUACUUUUUUUUGAGGAAGAAGGUGAAGAACUUAAUGAAGGUUUGUGGAUUUUUGUGACUUAAUCUUAAGCAGUUUUCAGUUGUCAAUUGUGAAUGUGUGUAACUGCAAUAAGAAACUGUCUUAACAGUCUUUCCAAAUUUAUACAGUAGUUUUCACUAUUCUUUUUUUAUUUUAAAAUAAAUUGUCUUCUAAAGCAA
This 1671-nucleotide unclassified non-coding RNA is filed under the name Thrips palmi. RNAcentral describes it as "ubiquitin domain-containing protein UBFD1-like, transcript variant X3". The record is from RNAcentral. Lineage: Eukaryota; Metazoa; Arthropoda; Insecta; Thysanoptera; Thripidae.